Molecule: ribosomal RNA, 463 nt
Filed under: Pseudomonas sp. TSA28
Lineage: Bacteria; Pseudomonadati; Pseudomonadota; Gammaproteobacteria; Pseudomonadales; Pseudomonadaceae
Description: bacterial SSU rRNA
Rfam family: Bacterial small subunit ribosomal RNA
Source: RNAcentral
AUCCUGGCUCAGAUUGAACGCUGGCGGCAGGCCUAACACAUGCAAGUCGAGCGGUAGAGAGAAGCUUGCUUCUCUUGAGAGCGGCGGACGGGUGAGUAAUACCUAGGAAUCUGCCUGGUAGUGGGGGAUAACGUUCGGAAACGGACGCUAAUACCGCAUACGUCCUACGGGAGAAAGCAGGGGACCUUCGGGCCUUGCGCUAUCAGAUGAGCCUAGGUCGGAUUAGCUAGUUGGUGAGGUAAUGGCUCACCAAGGCUACGAUCCGUAACUGGUCUGAGAGGAUGAUCAGUCACACUGGAACUGAGACACGGUCCAGACUCCUACGGGAGGCAGCAGUGGGGAAUAUUGGACAAUGGGCGAAAGCCUGAUCCAGCCAUGCCGCGUGUGUGAAGAAGGUCUUCGGAUUGUAAAGCACUUUAAGUUGGGAGGAAGGGCAGUAAAUUAAUACUUUGCUGUUUUGACG